Non-coding RNA from Caenorhabditis elegans, 21 nucleotides. The record is from Ensembl. NCBI's taxonomy places the organism in Eukaryota, Metazoa, Nematoda, Chromadorea, Rhabditida, Rhabditidae.
UAUUCGAAUCGAAAGGAGAUU